AAUAAUAAUAAUAAUUGGAAAAUAAUGAGAUUUACUUAUAUUUUAUUUGAUAGUAUUUGCAUUUAUUUCCAUGUUUUUGUUAAUACUAGCAAAUGUUUAAUAUGAAUUUUGGUUUGAAAUUAAACUUUCUUGGGAGGUUGUUUUGUCAAUAGGUGUUGCACCAAUUAAUUUGAAGAUUUGACUGAUACAAGUGAAACGUUUCACAAAAUAUGUGGAUUUGACCCUGGUGUCAUAUCAAUUUUAUCACAAUUGUCAUAAAAAAGAAUAACACGCAAAGUUUUCUCCUAAUGCUUGAAAGGAGGUAGUAAUGGAGAAGACAUUUUAGUUUUUAUUGCAAUUCUAGAGUCAAAUAUUGUUUAUAAUCCAAUGUUUUUCUUAUUUUAUUUUUUUAGUUUGUAGUUCAUUUCUUCCUUUCAGUUAUUUUAUUAUUUUUCUUCCACAAAAUUUCAUCGUGUGACACACCUUCACUAAAUUUGAAUCAACAUUGUAGUGAAAAAUCAAUUUCAAAUAUCCUUACUUAAUUGAAUGUAAAUUGUGAUAUUGCAAAGAAUUUAUUUAAAAUGCUUCUUGAUUUGUUUUUGUUUGUGUAAUUUCUUACUCUUAUAAAUAUGACAUUGUGCAAUAUAGUUGACUAAUAUUUUCCUUUUUCAUUAAAUUUUAGGUUUCAUUACACCUUAGACCUUUAGAGCAUUUAUGUAAAUGAAAAAUUACUUCUAAUUAAUCAAAAUGUAUUUGUAGUCUCCUACGACCAUGAAAAUAUAGUUGAUAGUGGUACAACAUUGACAUAUCUUGUUCCAGAAGCUUAUAAUCUUCUUCUUCAUGCCGCUUUAUGCAACAAAGGUGAAGUUGAGAUAUCCACCAAAGGAAUUCAUUCAUCACAUUGAUAUUGGAAGUGACAUUGUAUGGGUUAAUUGCAAUAAUUGCAGCAAUUUUCCUCAAUCUAGUGCACUUUGGAUAAGUAUUUUAAAUUUUUAGUUAUCAAGUUUUCAUAGUUGUUUUUUGUUUACUAUACAUACUUAUUAAUAAUAUUAUUUUCUUACGGUGUAGUGUUUGUUUUAUUGCUUUGCCAAUCAAGGUUCAAAUUUGGUACA
Molecule: non-coding RNA, 1091 nt
Organism: Cicer arietinum (chickpea)
Lineage: Eukaryota; Viridiplantae; Streptophyta; Magnoliopsida; Fabales; Fabaceae
Source: RefSeq, a predicted model, not a curated record